Molecule: ribosomal RNA, 460 nt
Filed under: uncultured bacterium
Lineage: Bacteria
Description: partial 16S ribosomal RNA
Rfam family: Bacterial small subunit ribosomal RNA
Source: RNAcentral
CCUACGGGAGGCAGCAGUGAGGAAUAUUGGUCAAUGGACGAGAGUCUGAACCAGCCAAGUAGCGUGAAGGAUGACUGCUCUAUGGGUUGUAAACUUCUUUUAUAAAGGAAUAAAACGAGGCACGUGUGCCUUUUUGCAUGUACUUUAUGAAUAAGGAUCGGCUAACUCCGUGCCAGCAGCCGCGGUAAUACGGAGGAUCCGAGCGUUAUCCGGGUUGAUUGGGUUUAAAGGGAGCGUAGAUGGGUUGUUAAGUCAGUUGUGAAAGUUUGCGGCUCAACCGUAAAAUUGCAAUUGAUACUGGCAGUCUUGAGUACAGUUGAGGUAGGCGGAAUUCGUGGUGUAGCGGUGAAAUGCUUAGAUAUCACGAAGAACCCCGAUUGCGAAGGCAGCUUACUAGACUGUAACUGACAUUGAUGCUCGAAAGUGUGGGUAUCAAACAGGAUUAGAUACCCUAGUAGUC